Molecule: ribosomal RNA, 350 nt
Filed under: uncultured Bacteroidota bacterium
Lineage: Bacteria; Pseudomonadati; Bacteroidota
Description: bacterial SSU rRNA
Rfam family: Bacterial small subunit ribosomal RNA
Source: RNAcentral
AUGCGUUGGGGCUUGACGGUAGUGUAUGAAUAAGCAUCGGCUAACUCCGUGCCAGCAGCCGCGGUAAUACGGAGGAUGCAAGCGUUAUCCGGAUUCAUUGGGUUUAAAGGGUGCGUAGGCGGCUUUUUAAGUCGGGGGUGAAAUCCUGCCGCUUAACGGUAGAAUUGCCAUUGAUACUGAAGAGCUUGAGUCCAGUUGAGGUAAGCGGAAUGUGUAGUGUAGCGGUGAAAUGCUUAGAUAUUACACAGAACACCAAUUGCGAAGGCAGCUUACUAAGCUGGCACUGACGCUGAUGCCCGAAAGCGUGGGGAGCGAACAGGAUUAGAUACCCUGGUAGUCCACGCCGUAAA